CAAGAAAUAGUUUAUGUAAAAUAUUAACUUUGGGAGUUAUUGAAAAGGAAAGAUCUUUUUUCUUGA
RNAcentral lists this transfer RNA (66 nucleotides) under Anopheles gilesi. RNAcentral describes it as "tRNA-Pro". Lineage: Eukaryota; Metazoa; Arthropoda; Insecta; Diptera; Culicidae. The record is from RNAcentral.